GCCGUCAGGCUUGGCCCUGGAGCAGAAGCUGAGAUCCGGCAUCUUGAGACUGGAUCAUGUGCCAGAGAAAGCUAACUGGGAGUGGCAUUGGGCUUCUGAAACUUCUAAGCUGACCUGCAGUGACACACCUCUUCUAACAAGGCCACACCCCCCUGAUCCUUUUCAAACAGCUACCUUAUGAGCCUAUAGGGGCCAUUCUCGUUCAAGCUACCACAUCAGGUAUAGAAUCAUCAGAGCUUAGAAGAGAUGCAGCUCCCAGGCCAGAAGGAGCAGCCACAGGUAUCUACAGAUAGAAGAUUUGCCUCCACAGACAGUGGUAAAAUAGAUGAUGGUCCAAGCUACCCCUCAGCCAGAAAAUAAAGAACAUUUUCCCUACAAGUAAAUUACUACAAGGGAAUUCUAAGUAUUAAAAAUUGUAUCUUCAUUUAUUUGUAA
Myodes glareolus (Bank vole) is the source of this 435-nucleotide long non-coding RNA. RefSeq lists it as uncharacterized. The record is from RefSeq and is a predicted model, not a curated record. Lineage: Eukaryota; Metazoa; Chordata; Mammalia; Rodentia; Cricetidae.